GCAGAAUAUCCGUGGCCUGACUUUCUGGAGCAUCAGUAUUACUACAAGAUUUAGAAGAAGCAAAGUUAUGUCAUUUCCAAGGUUCAUCUUGGCUGAAAUCAUCCCACGUGUGUUGUUUUCUGUCCAGCUUGCCUCCCUCGGCAUGAGGUUGAUGAGACUCGCCCAGCAUGUGUGUGUCAGCGGUUGCUCCUCGGCACGGCUUAGGGCGUUCUGCUCUGUGGAUGCCCUGCAGUGCGCUCAUCUUCCUCCUGGGGACUUGCAGAUCAUCUCUUGCGAACAUUCUUGUACAAAAGCUUUUUGUAUGCUGUUUGAUUCCUUUAUUAGCAUUUACGUGACACACUUUUUGCACUUUUUAGUGGUUGUUCCAGAUUACAAUAUGCAUCUUUAACAUAUCACAGCCUACCUAGACUUAAUAGUGCACCAAUUUAAUCAAUGUAAAAUAUGGAAGCCUUGCUACAGAACAGUUCCACUUACUGUCUGAACUUUGUGUUAUUGUUUUCAUAAAUUUUACAUCUACCCAUGUUAUAAAUCCCACAAUACAGUGUUAUAAUUUUUGCUUUGAAUAGUCAUAAGUCUUUUAAAUAAAUUAAGAGAAAAAAGUUAA
Diceros bicornis minor is the source of this 604-nucleotide long non-coding RNA. RefSeq lists it as uncharacterized. Lineage: Eukaryota; Metazoa; Chordata; Mammalia; Perissodactyla; Rhinocerotidae. The transcript is spliced from 2 exons. The record is from RefSeq and is a predicted model, not a curated record.